Daktulosphaira vitifoliae (grape phylloxera) is the source of this 1445-nucleotide long non-coding RNA. RefSeq lists it as uncharacterized. The transcript is spliced from 5 exons. Lineage: Eukaryota; Metazoa; Arthropoda; Insecta; Hemiptera; Phylloxeridae. The record is from RefSeq and is a predicted model, not a curated record.
CUAAACACAUGUACACAUGUUUUUGUUUUAAGAAAGUAAAAACGAGGAAGACGUCAAGUUAAUAGAAAAACAUUUGAGAAAAGGAAUAUAAAAGGAGAGUAUUCGAAAAAAAUGUAUGAAACAAUUCGAAGUUUAAUUUGCUGUUAUAGAGGCUACUUCAUAAUACACUAAAAGAGGAAUUAGUAUAAACAUAUUGAUGACUUUCUGAGAUAUCAGGAGACUGAGAAGUCGAUUAUAGGCCACUACUACAAUGUUCUUGAGAUAAAUUGUACGAAAUAUAAUUCAAAACUUCUUCGGUCAACCAUAAAUAAUAUUCGUAUCUUAUUAUAGAAAAUAUGGAACAAUAUAAAAACGGAUAAUAAAUAUAAGUACAACAUGUCAUCUUUGAGCAGACAUGCACGUGCCCAUUUGUUAACGUCUAAAUAGAGAUUAACAUAGUAACAUAAAGGAAAAAAACGAGAAUUUUGUUACAAUCUCCACUUUAAGGUGAUUCGAUAAAAAAUUAUGUCAAACCAUAUCCAUUUAAAAUAGUUAUAUAAAUACUUUUUGGAAUUAAAACAAUGUAGUUUGUAACAAGAUUUUCAUUAAACUAACUAUAUUGUUUAAUUAACGCAUACCAAUGGAGAAACAAUAAUACCAUAUAACUUCCUCGAUAAGUUAUGAAUAUGCCCAAAAGAACGUUAUGUUCAAAUUUAUCCUUCAACUUUUUUGAAAAAAAAUUUCUGUUCUAAAUGUUUAUAUCAGCUUUUGUAGAAUACGAACACAUCCUUCAAGUAAAAUAUGAGAAAACACAAAGUAAGACCGAAACGACUACUUACGUUCCACUAAAGUUUACUAUUUACAGUCUUCCACGUUAAAAAACACACGAACACUCCGGUAAUAUCAAUGGUGACAGGCAACGUGAACUUGCAUUACAAAUCGACAAAUGGCAGCUGCGGUCGUGCAAUACACGUUGCUUUCUAUUUCCACACAAACCACGACAAUAUCAAAAAGCUCAGAGUUGUGCAUUAUGAAUUGUAAUGUCAAUCGUAUGAGUCGGGUCUUCAAUAUCCAAUCGUUUCAUCCUUUUUUCAUAGUCCGUGUUUUCAUAAGAUUAGAACGUUUACAGCAAAAAUGAAAAAAAUAAGACGUUCAACCUGAAUUUUUAUUUCUAAAAACAUACCGUACUUUCAUACGAAUUGACAAUUCAGUCGAUAAUAUAAUUUUUUUCUUAAUCACAAACUACAAGUCUAAGGAAACGAUUUAGUAAAACAAAAAAAAAUCGAGGCCAUAAAACCGUGUAUGAUGGCUAGUUUAUAGUUAUUACCAAUACCAUACGCUGGUGCACAUAAAGUACAAUAAUAAAAUUUUCUAAUCGUUCAAAGUUCUCUUACUGACAUAAAACACAGUCAACUGUACAUUUAUAUAAAUAAUAACAGUGUUAUUGCUAUUUCAUAAAAUGUAUU